This 497-nucleotide ribosomal RNA is filed under the name uncultured bacterium. RNAcentral's name for it is "partial 16S ribosomal RNA". It matches the Rfam family "Bacterial small subunit ribosomal RNA", at positions 28 to 507 of the family's 1533-position model. The record is from RNAcentral.
GAUGAACGCUGGCGGCGUGCCUAAUACAUGCAAGUCGAGCGAACAGACGAGGAGCUUGCUCCUCUGACGUUAGCGGCGGACGGGUGAGUAACACGUGGAUAACCUACCUAUAAGACUGGGAUAACUUCGGGAAACCGGAGCUAAUACCGGAUAAUAUAUUGAACCGCAUGGUUCAAUAGUGAGAGACGGUUUUGCUGUCACUUAUAGAUGGAUCCGCGCCGCAUUAGCUAGUUGGUAAGGUAACGGCUUACCAAGGCAACGAUGCGUAGCCGACCUGAGAGGGUGAUCGGCCACACUGGAACUGAGACACGGUCCAGACUCCUACGGGAGGCAGCAGUAGGGAAGCUUCCGCAAUGGGCGAAAGCCUGACGGAGCAACGCCGCGUGAGUGAUGAAGGUCUUCGGAUCGUAAAACUCUGUUAUUAGGGAAGAACAAAUGUGUAAGUAACUAUGCACGUCUUGACGGUACCUAAUCAGAAAGCCACGGCUAACUACGUG